RNAcentral lists this ribosomal RNA (200 nucleotides) under uncultured bacterium. RNAcentral's name for it is "partial 16S ribosomal RNA". It matches the Rfam family "Bacterial small subunit ribosomal RNA", at positions 29 to 256 of the family's 1533-position model. The record is from RNAcentral.
AACGAACGCUGGCGGCAUGCCUAAUACAUGCAAGUCGAACGAGACCUUCGGGUCUAGUGGCGCACGGGUGCGUAACGCGUGGGAAUCUGCCCUUGGGUUCGGAAUAACAGUUGGAAACGACUGCUAAUACCGGAUGAUGACGAAAGUCCAAAGAUUUAUCGCCUAGGGAUGAGCCCGCGUAGGAUUAGCUAGUUGGUGAG